UGGGGAAUUUUGGACAAUGGGCGCAAGCCUGAUCCAGCCAUGCCGCGUGCGGGAAGAAGGCCUUCGGGUUGUAAACCGCUUUUGUCAGGGAAGAAACGCUCUGGGCUAAUACCCUGGGGUAAUGACGGUACCUGAAGAAUAAGCACCGGCUAACUACGUGCCAGCAGCCGCGGUAAUACGUAGGGUGCGAGCGUUAAUCGGAAUUACUGGGCGUAAAGCGUGCGCAGGCGGCUUUGCAAGACAGAUGUGAAAUCCCCGGGCUCAACCUGGGAACUGCAUUUGUGACUGCAAGGCUAGAGUACGGUAGAGGGGGAUGGAAUUCCGCGUGUAGCAGUGAAAUGCGUAGAUAUGCGGAGGAACACCGAUGGCGAAGGCAAUCCCCUGGACCUGUACUGACGCUCAUGCACGAAAGCGUGGGGAGCAAACAGGAUUAGAUACCCUAGUAGUCCCUGAGCGGGCUGGCAAGGCGCAU
RNAcentral lists this ribosomal RNA (472 nucleotides) under uncultured bacterium. RNAcentral's name for it is "bacterial SSU rRNA". It matches the Rfam family "Bacterial small subunit ribosomal RNA", at positions 355 to 825 of the family's 1533-position model. The record is from RNAcentral.